RNAcentral lists this ribosomal RNA (253 nucleotides) under uncultured bacterium. RNAcentral describes it as "partial 16S ribosomal RNA". It matches the Rfam family "Bacterial small subunit ribosomal RNA", at positions 524 to 776 of the family's 1533-position model. The record is from RNAcentral.
UACGGGGGGGGCAAGCGUUGUUCGGAAUUACUGGGCGUAAAGGGCUCGUAGGUGGCCAACUAAGUCAGACGUGAAAUCCCUCGGCUUAACCGGGGAACUGCGUCUGAUACUGGAUGGCUUGAGUUCGGGAGAGGGAUGCGGAAUUCCAGGUGUAGCGGUGAAAUGCGUAGAUAUCUGGAGGAACACCGGUGGCGAAGGCGGCAUCCUGGACCGACACUGACACUGAGGCACGAAAGCUAGGGUAGCGAACGGG